GUCCACGCCCUAAACGAUGCGAACUGGACGUUGGGAGCAAUCAGGCUCUCAGUGUCGAAGCUAACGCGUUAAGUUCGCCGCCUGGGGAGUACGGUCGCAAUACUGAAACUCAAAGGAAUUGACGGGGGCCCGCACAAGCGGUGUAGUAUGUGGUUUAAUUCGAUGCAACGCGCAGAACCUUACCUGGCCUUGACAUCCACGGAAUCCUUUAGAGAUAGAGGAGUGCCUUCGGGAACCGUGAGACAGGUGCUGCAUGGCUGUCGU
Molecule: ribosomal RNA, 264 nt
Filed under: uncultured bacterium
Lineage: Bacteria
Description: partial 16S ribosomal RNA
Rfam family: Bacterial small subunit ribosomal RNA
Source: RNAcentral